CUUUGGGAUAACCCUCGGAAACGGGGGCUAAUACCGAAUAUUCACUCACGGGCGCAUGUUUGUGGGUGGAAAGUUUUUCGGCUUGGGAUGGGCUCGCGGCCUAUCAGCUUGUUGGUAGGGUAAUGGCCUACCAAGACGACGACGGGUAGCCGGCCUGAGAGGGCGACCGGCCACACUGGGACUGAGACACGGCCCAGACUCCUACGGGAGGCAGCAGUGGGGAAUAUUGCACAAUGGGCGGAAGCCUGAUGCAGCGACGCCGCGUGAGGGAUGACGGCCUUCGGGUUGUAAACCUCUUUCAGCAGGGACGAAGCGCAAGUGACGGUACCUGCAGAAGAAGCGCCGGCCAACUACGUGCCAGCAGCCGCGGUAAGACGUAGGGCGCGAGCGUUGUCCGGAUUUAUUGGGCGUAAAGAGCUCGUAGGCGGCUUGUCGCGUCGGCUGUGAAAGCCCAUGGCUCAACUGUGGGCUUGCAGCCGAUACGGGCAGGCUAGAGUUCGGUAGGGGAGACUGGAAUUCCUGGUGUAGCGGUGAAAUGCGCAGAUAUCAGGAGGAACACCGGUGGCGAAGGCGGGUCUCUGGGCCGAUACUGACGCUGAGGAGCGAAAGCGUGGGGAGCGAACAGGAUUAGAUACCCUGGUAGUCCACGCUGUAAACGUUGGGCGC
RNAcentral lists this ribosomal RNA (666 nucleotides) under uncultured Micromonosporaceae bacterium. RNAcentral describes it as "bacterial SSU rRNA". It matches the Rfam family "Bacterial small subunit ribosomal RNA", at positions 136 to 816 of the family's 1533-position model. Lineage: Bacteria; Bacillati; Actinomycetota; Actinomycetes; Micromonosporales; Micromonosporaceae. The record is from RNAcentral.